This is a non-coding RNA of Cyanistes caeruleus (blue tit), 1375 nucleotides long. NCBI's taxonomy places the organism in Eukaryota, Metazoa, Chordata, Aves, Passeriformes, Paridae. The record is from RefSeq and is a predicted model, not a curated record.
AAUUACAAAAUUAGAGUAACUCAGACUAUGAGCCUUUCCUUCGCAUGUCAAAAGCAAAUCAACAAAUACAUGUUCCUGCCUUUAUGUAGGUAAAGGAAGAUAUGAAUGCUGACUGGAAAAGCCAUCUUUUCAAAGACUUGUAGCUCAGCUGAAAUGAAUGAAAAAUUCCAAUGGUCCCCAAAAGUAAAUACUUAAACUGAGCUGGGUGUAUGCAACUGAGCUGGGCAUAUGCAACCCACCCAGUAUCAACAGUACAGUGCAAGUAGAUGUUGAGAUCUUGGGGUACAUUCAACCAGUGAUGAGAAGUGAGUGCACUGGUAAUGCCAUUUUGCAGGCAACAAGGGUCACAGCUGGGAUCCCAGACUUCCAGCGCCAGCCAAACACUGAGGCCUGGGUUUGCUCUUCAGUGCUGUUUUGAGCAUAAAAAACCACCUACCUUCAAACAUCACUGUCUGCAUUCUCAUUUUUCCAGGAAAAUGUUGGCAAUUAUAUUACCCUACCAAUAUCAAUUGUGCAUUUGUGUCUGUUUCUGUACAGCUUGCGCACUGGAAAUGUGUUUUGGCUUUAGUUCAAAUCCACUUCAGUGCCCCCAAAGAGAUCUUCAUUGUUCUAAAGGCUUGCUGAGAUUGUUUCCAGUUUAUACACAACUGUUUCUAAACCCUGGGACCUGUGCUUUUGGUUGUCUAUCAGGAAAGAGUGGCAAAGAUUAAAGAAGUGCAUGCCUUUGGCUGCAUACUUUAAAAUAAAACAGCCGUGGUUUUCAGGAACCUCUUUUAAGGUGCAAUAAAUCCGACUUUCUAAAUGCCCAAGGCUGUGUUUAUCUAGAAGUAUCUUGGGGGAGAUUGCUAUGUCUAUUAAUCUGUUUUCCUGUUUCCUUACCUCAGGGCUUAAAGGCUGCAUAAACCAACCAGCUAGAACACUGUAAGGAAAAGUCUCCACAGACAAGUAUCUCCCUCUGCUUUCUGUUCUUAAGCAGCACUCCUGGUGCAGGGGAGUCAUUAGACAUUCUUAUAAAGCAGGAGCAGUAGAUGAGGGUGAUACAGUAGGGACAAACCAGCAUGACCUCUGUCUUAGAAGAAACCUCAAACCUCUUCAGGACCUUUAAAAGAGUUAACAAAACAGUGGAUAAAGGACAACCAGUGUCUGUGUUUUAUUUAGACCUUCAAAAGGCUUUUGAUAAAGUUCCUGAGAAGAGGCUAUAAAGGAAACUUAGUAACCACAAGGGUGAGUAAGCAGCUGUGUGGGAGCUUGGAUGCUGGACAGGAUCAAUCCACCACUAUAGCUAUUAUCCUGGAUUCCUAAAUGAACUAUCUGCACAUAUGAAGAGUGAACCAAAACAAAUACCAAAAGUCCUGAGAGAAGAGGGAGGAGGAAG